This 571-nucleotide ribosomal RNA is filed under the name uncultured bacterium. RNAcentral describes it as "partial 16S ribosomal RNA". It matches the Rfam family "Bacterial small subunit ribosomal RNA", at positions 355 to 919 of the family's 1533-position model. The record is from RNAcentral.
UGGGGAAUUUUGGACAAUGGGCGCAAGCCUGAUCCAGCCAUGCCGCGUGCGGGAAGAAGGCCUUCGGGUUGUAAACCGCUUUUGUCAGGGAAGAAAUCUUCUGAGUUAAUACCUCGGGAGGAUGACGGUACCUGAAGAAUAAGCACCGGCUAACUACGUGCCAGCAGCCGCGGUAAUACGUAGGGUGCAAGCGUUAAUCGGAAUUACUGGGCGUAAAGCGUGCGCAGGCGGUUUUGUAAGACAGAGGUGAAAUCCCCGGGCUCAACCUGGGAACUGCCUUUGUGACUGCAAGGCUUGAGUGCGGCAGAGAGGGAUGGAAUUCCGCGUGUAGCAGUGAAAUGCGUAGAUAUGCGGAGGAACACCGAUGGCGAAGGCAAUCCCCUGGGCCUGCACUGACGCCCAUGCACGAAAGCGUGGGGAGCAAACAGGAUUAGAUACCCUGGUAGUCCACGCCCUAAACGAUGUCAACUGGUUGUUGGGAAGGUUCCUUCUCAGUAACGUAGCUAACGCGUGAAGUUGACCGCCUGGGGAGUACGGCCGCAAGGUUGAAACUUAAAUGAAUUGACGGGGU